UGCGUAGGCGGAUAAUUAAGUCAGAGGUGAAAUCCUGCAGCUCAACUGUAGAAUCGCCUUUGAUACUGGUUAUCUUGAGUCAUUAUGAAGUGGUUAGAAUGUGUAGUGUAGCGGUGAAAUGCAUAGAUAUUACACAGAAUACCGAUUGCGAAGGCAGAUCACUAAUAAUGUACUGACACUGAGGGACGAAAGCGUGGGGAGCGAACAGGAUUAGAUACCCUGGUAGUCC
Molecule: ribosomal RNA, 229 nt
Filed under: uncultured bacterium
Lineage: Bacteria
Description: partial 16S ribosomal RNA
Rfam family: Bacterial small subunit ribosomal RNA
Source: RNAcentral